Molecule: long non-coding RNA, 1683 nt
Filed under: Phaseolus vulgaris (common bean)
Lineage: Eukaryota; Viridiplantae; Streptophyta; Magnoliopsida; Fabales; Fabaceae
Description: long non-coding RNA (PVUL_LNC001510)
Source: RNAcentral
UGUAAAUACUUUUACUGAUUUUUUUUUAUCAGCAAUGAAUUAAUGGAAUAAAAUGGAACACUUUAGGGGUGUCCCAAUCCUUAUACAUAAGAUACUCCUAAUUUAAGCAAUCAACAAAGCAAAGCAAGAUUAACUGACACACCACUUAACUUAAGAAUCUUAAACUAUUUAAACAGCCCUUACCCAAACAUAACUGAUUUUGCAAAGACCAACAAACCAAAAACUUGAUGGCUAUCUAGCUACUAGAAUUUUAACAAUAUAAAAACUUGAAGUCUAGCUAGCUCCCUACCCAUUGCAACAAUACCAAACCUACUACCUUGUGUACUACAUUUUAUUGCCAAAGUGAGGCACGACCUUUGCUGUCAAUCUACUUCCAAUAGCUACAAAAAACUCUGCACAUCCUCAUCUUUUAAGCACCAAAAGCUAGUCAACCAACCACAUAAAACGUGCAUCUGCAAAAACUGCAUAACGUUGACCAGAAUUGACAGCAUUUGGACAUGGGCUUACAGGUCAUAUUUUUCCUAGCAGACCCCUCAAACAAACCUUUGUCCUGCUUGCUACUGCAAAAAUUAACCCAGGACCAUUUUUUGCUUAAUAAAUCACUUCUACAUCAUCAUCUUCCUUGUCCCUUCCUCAGCGCCCUUCUUGUAACUGUAACGUAUAUAUGACUCCACCACAAAGAGAAUCAUUGUCCUUGCAUCCUUACCAUAAGACCUUUUCAACCAAUAGACAUAGAUAAACAAAUCUAACCAAUAGUUAAUGCACAAAAUAGGUAAUCAAGAUACAUAUGAAGAUAAUGAAAAAACAAAGGAUCCCAUCCAGCACCUAACCCCACCCUAAUACUACCCUUUUAAUUUCAAACAUAUAACAUGAUAAAGAAUCCAAUAAGGGAACCCAACAUAAAAAACAUUCAUCAUAUCUUUCAACCAUAACCGAGCAUUGAAUCACCUUUGUCGUGACUUCAGUUGCACCUGCAAACAACUAACAACUAGCUCUCUAAGAGCAUUAGUAGCACUAAUCUCAGAAACAUCACGACAACAAAAUUAAAAAUAGUUUACAGCUGUAAAAGACUUCCUACUAUUAAAACAAACUCUUCCUUCUUCAUCUUCUCUUCCGGAUAGAUUUCAGACAUUCCGUAGGAUUUAUGCACUAGUGGGCGUAUGUAAAUUCAGCUAGAUUCUCUUUGCUGGUAAGCCACGUCCACGCCUUUAGUUGAGCCAAAGUGAAGAUUUUAGAGUUGUCUGCUCGACCUUCCUUAAAAAUGACUUGAUUUCUUUGUUUCCAAAUUUCUCCGACCACUGCAAUCCAAACACACCUCCAAGAUCUGCUUAUCUCUUGUGUAGCCCAGUUCAGAUUAAACUGUGGGAAAUGGGAUUUGCCUUCCCUAUGAAACCCUGUUGGUUCCCCCACCCAUUCACUACAAAGGCACCAUACUCUCCGGGCUACUCUACAUUCGAAGAAAUACAUGACUUCCACUUUCCUAUUCUUGUUUGGUUUUGGGUGGUUCAACUGUUGUGUUGAAUUUGGAGAUUGAGAAAGAGUUAGCACUAAGCUGGGUUAGCUUUAUGCAAUGAUAAAGUUGUCUCUGCUUUAUUUCAUGCACUCAUUCGUAUAUGUGGUUUUUUUUACUUGCAAUGAAAGUGUGCAAAGAGUAAUUACACUUUCUUAUAAUUUGCCUUUGCC